Molecule: RNA transcript, 2316 nt
Organism: Dunckerocampus dactyliophorus (ringed pipefish)
Lineage: Eukaryota; Metazoa; Chordata; Actinopteri; Syngnathiformes; Syngnathidae
Gene: snx2
Gene name: sorting nexin 2
Exons: 14
Source: RefSeq, a predicted model, not a curated record
UUGCCCCACCCCUCCCGCCUGUCAGUCAGGCUGCUAGCGGUAGGCUUCUUAGCGCAGGGCGUUAGCUUGCUAGCUUAGCGUCCCUGGAACCACACAAACAUGGCGGACACAGCCAGGGAGCCUCCGCCCGACCGCAGCGGCUUCCAGGAGUUGGAGGACGCCGAGGACCUGUUCCCGGAGCUGGCGGUCCCUCGGGAGGCAGAACCGGCCCGUCUGUCCACGCAGGACAUUGGCACCGAGUCCAACGGGCCCAAACGGGACUCCUUCUUUGACGACGACGUAGAUGACCUGUUUGCAGAAGCCACAGACGAGGUGUCCCUGGACAGUCCAGAGAGGGAAGUCCUGUUGUCUGACGGCCCGUCCCCCGCCAUGACCCCCAUCACCCCGCCCACGUCCGUCAUCACCCCUCGCAUCGGCCACGCCCACGACGACAUGUUUACACACUCCUCCUUUGACGAGGUUGAAGAAGACGAGGCUGGAGAUGCCUUCGACGUGCACAUCUCCGUGUCUGACCCUGAGAAAGUUGGCGACGGCAUGAACGCCUACAUGGCCUACAAGGUCACCACCAAGACGUCCUCGUCUCUUUUCAGGCUGCGUGAGUUCUCCGUCCGACGCCGUUUCAGCGACUUCCUGGGCCUGCACGGCAAGCUGGCGUCCAGGUACCUGCACGGGGGCUACAUCGUGCCCCCCGCCCCCGAGAAGAGCAUCGUGGGCAUGACCAAGGUGAAGGUGGGCAAGGAGGACCCGUCGUCCAACGAGUUUGUGGAGAAGCGACGUCUGGCGUUGGAGAGGUACCUGAUGAGGACGGUGCAGCAUCCCGUCCUCCUUAAAGACCCGGACCUCCUGCAGUUUUUGGAAAGUUCUGAGCUGCCGCGGGCCGUCAGCACGCAGGCGCUGAGCGGCGCCGGCCUCCUCCGUAUGGUCAACAAAGCCGCCGACGCCGUCAACAAGAUGACCAUCAAGAUGAACGAGUCCGACGCUUGGUUUGAAGAGAAGCAGCAACAUUUUGAAAAUCUGGACAUCCAGCUGAGGAAACUUCACGCUAGUGUGGAAUCGCUGGUUUGUCACAGGAAAGAGUUGUCGCUGAACACGGCGCAGUUUGCCAAGUCGGCGGCCAUGUUGGGCAACAGCGAGGACCACACGGCGUUGUCUCGUGCUCUGUCCCAGCUGGCCGAGGUGGAGGAGAAGAUGGAGCAGCAGCACCACGAGCAGGCCGACGCCGACUUCUACUUCCUGUCCGAGCUGGUGGGCGACUACGUGCGCCUCCUCGCUGCCGUCAAGGGCGUGUUUGAGCAGCGCGUGAAGACGUGGCAGAAGUGGCAGGACACUCAGCUUCUCCUGCAGAAGAAACGCGAGGCUGAAGUCAAGCUGCAGUUUUCUAACAAAGCUGACAAAGUUGCACAGGCCAAAGACGACAUCAAGGAGGUACCACUCUGACUACAAUUCACAGCUCAGCCAAUCCAUCAGGAAGCAUCUGCCUUAGAAAGCAAACACGCUUGCUGGUGUGUCCAGUGGUAUAAAACCAACGCACCCUCGCAGUCAAGUGAGAAGGUUUGAGUUUGCAGUUGAAGAAUUUUGUGGAGCGAAGAAGAAGAAAAAUACUUUUAUUAGUCUGUCAGCACACAAAUUCAGCCUCCGAGCUGUCACUCACGCACACGCACACACACAGUCGGCAUGGUCGGGGGUCCGCUGUUAGCGUGGACGAGCUGUCGGGAGCGUUGACAAGUCAACAUUUGUCAGUAGACUUACUACACACCUUUAUUAUCUGGACCACACGCACACACACGCACACACACACACACACACACACACACGCACACACACGCACACACACGCACACAGGCAGUGUUUGUGGGGUGAUCAGCAUCUCCCCUCGUUAAAAAAGGAUUAGUUUGCUGAAUGUCACAUGACACGUUAGAGAUGAUCUGUCAAGUAUUUCUCCUGCACGUCUUUGCUCAAUGAUGGUGCUUGGAACGCUUCCCAGCAUGCCUUGCGGUGCUAACUAGACGUCAUCAUACUUCCCAGCAUGCCUUGCGGCGCUAACUAGACGUCAUCAUACUUCCCAGCAUGCCUUGCGGUGCUAGCAGGAGGUCGUACGCUACUUGUUGACUUGUUUAUGUGUACUGUCAUAUUCCCACCACGCCUUCCCGCUCCAGGAGAUACAAGAGUUGGAGGUGAAGGUCCGGCAGGGGGAGCGAGACUUCCAGAAGAUCUCUCAAAGCAUCCGCAGGGAGGUGGGCCGCUUUGAGAGACGACGCGUGAGCGACUUCAAGAACAUCUUCAUCAGAUACUUGGAGGCCCUCGUUGGCGCGCAGC